AGGAGCAACAGCCCCAGUGGCGGGGCAGCUCUGGAAACCUGGAUUCAGCCCCCGCAGUAACUCCGGAGCUCUCCGUCUGCAGGGCCUGGAGGCUCCGGGCGGGG
RNAcentral lists this microRNA precursor (104 nucleotides) under Canis lupus familiaris (dog). RNAcentral's name for it is "mir-8834 microRNA precursor family". It matches the Rfam family "mir-8834 microRNA precursor family". The record is from Rfam by way of RNAcentral. Lineage: Eukaryota; Metazoa; Chordata; Mammalia; Carnivora; Canidae.